RNAcentral lists this ribosomal RNA (476 nucleotides) under uncultured Planctomycetaceae bacterium. RNAcentral's name for it is "bacterial SSU rRNA". It matches the Rfam family "Bacterial small subunit ribosomal RNA", at positions 581 to 1050 of the family's 1533-position model. The record is from RNAcentral. Lineage: Bacteria; Pseudomonadati; Planctomycetota; Planctomycetia; Planctomycetales; Planctomycetaceae.
UGGCAGGUGAGAUGUGAAAGCCCACGGCUCAACCGUGGAAUUGCGUUUCAAACCGUCAGGCUUGAGGAAGACAGGGGUGUCGGGAACUUAUGGUGGAGCGGUGAAAUGCGUUGAUAUCAUAGGGAACACCGGUGGCGAAAGCGGCUCACUGGGUCUCUUCUGACGCUGAGGCACGAAAGCUAAGGUAGCAAACGGGAUUAGAUACCCCGGUAGUCUUAGCUGUAAACGAUGAGCACUUGAUUGGAGGGUCCUCCAUAGCCUUCCAGUCGUAGCGAAAGUGUUAAGUGCUCCGCCUGGGGAGUAUGGUCGCAAGGCUGAAACUCAAAGAAAUUGACGGGGGCUCACACAAGCGGUGGAGGAUGUGGCUUAAUUCGAGGCUACGCGAAGAACCUUAUCCUAGUCUUGACAUGUAUGGAUUAACCCUGUGAAAGCAGGGCCACGCCUUCGGGUGGAACAUACACAGGUGCUGCAUGGCU